This 2908-nucleotide ribosomal RNA is filed under the name Mycoplasmopsis bovis. RNAcentral's name for it is "Mycoplasma bovis 23S ribosomal RNA". It matches the Rfam family "Bacterial large subunit ribosomal RNA". The record is from RNAcentral. Lineage: Bacteria; Bacillati; Mycoplasmatota; Mycoplasmoidales; Metamycoplasmataceae.
UACUUUUAAAUAAGGAAGAGUUUGUGGUGGAUGCCUUGGGUCUGGAAGUCGAUGAAGGACGUGAUUACCUGCGAUAAGCCUCGUAGAGCCUGGAAAUAUGCUAUGAAACGGGGAUUUCCGAAUGGGGAAACCUAACUAUGGUAAUGCAUAGUUGCUUAUGUCUGAAUACAUAGGACAUAAAGCGAGAUACCUUGUGAACUGAAACAUCUUAGUAGCAAGAGGAAAAGAAAAUAAAUAAUGAUUUCUUUAGUAGCGGCGAGCGAACGAGAAAGAGCCCAAACCAUUUUAAAUGGGGUCAUAGGACAGACUACAUAGAGUUACAAAAUUUAAUAAUAGCAGAAGGCUUUUGGGAAGAAGCGGCACAGAAGGUGAUACCCCUGUAUGCGAAAUUAUUAAAUCUCUUGACUGUAUCCUGAGUAGGGGCGGGGCACGUGAAACCCUGUCUGAAUUUGCCGGGACCACCCGGUAAGGCUAAAUACUAACCAGACACCGAUAGCGAACUAGUACCGUGAGGGAAAGGUGAAAAGAACCCCGAGAGGGGAGUGAAAUAGAACUCUGAAACCACUUACUUACAAUUAGUCAGAGCCCGUUAAUGGGUGAUGGCGUACAUCUUGCAGUAUGGACCGGCGAGUUACUUUAGCAUGCAAGGUUAAGCAGAUAAAAGCGGAGCCGUAGAGAAAUCGAGUCUUAAUAGGGCGAUUAGUAUGCUUGAGUACACCCGAAACCAGGUGACCUAUUCAUGAGCAGACUGAAACUUAGCUAACCCUAAGUGGAGGGUCGAACCGUAGUACACUAAAACGUGCCCGGAUGACUUGUGAAUAGCGGAGAAAUUCCAAUCGAACUUGGAGAUAGCUGGUUCUCCUCGAAAUAGCCUUUAGGGCUAGCGUGUAGUGUUAAAUAAUGGUGGUAAAGCACUGAAUAUGGAAUGGCCUCGCCUAGGGGUACUGACUAUAAUCAAACUCUGAAUACCGUUAUGAAUUGCUAUGCAGUCGGAACCGGGGUGCUAACGUCCCGGCUCGCGAGGGAAACAACCCAGAUCGUCAGCCUAAGGUCCCAAAAUCGUGUUAAGUCAGAAAGGUUGUGAGGUUUCAUAAACAACUAGGAAGUUGGCUUAGAAGCGACCAUCUUUUAAAGAGUGCGUAAUAAGCUCACUAGUCAAGAGACCUUGCGCCGACAAUGUAACGGGAGUAAAACACGAUACCGAAGCCUACGGGUACAUUUAUGUACGUUAGAGGAGCGUUCUUAGGGCAAUGAAGCCUAGAACUGUAAAGACUAGUGGAGCGCUAAGAAGCGAGAAUGCCGGUAUGAGUAACGAUUCUGUAGUGAGAAUCUACGACGCCUAUUGGGGAAGGUUUCCUGGGCAAGGUUCGUCCACCCAGGGUUAGUCAGGACCUAAGGCGAGGCUGAAAAGCGUAGUCGAUGGACAACGAGGUUAAUAUUCCUGUACUUUCUUUAAUUGUGAUGGAGUGACGGAGAAGGAUAAGCAUACCUAUUAUUGGAUUUAGGGGUAAGUAGUUACUGGUGAUUGUAGGCAAAUCCGCAAUCUAUAACUGGGAGCUAUGAUGCAUAGGACUUUUGUCUGAAUUUGCCAAUUCCAUGCUUCCUAGAAAAGUUUCUAAACUUAAUUUUAUUGAAACCUCGUACCAAGAACGGACACACGUCCCCAAGAUGAGUAUUCUAAGGCGAGCGAGAAAACUAGUGUUAAGGAACUCUGCAAAAUGACCCCGUAAGUUCGCAAGAAGGGGCGCCUAUGGUAACACAUAGGCCACAGUAAAUUAUGAGGGGCAACUGUUUAUCAAAAACACAACUCUCUGCUAAACCGCAAGGUGAUGUAUAGGGGGUGAAGCCUGCCCAGUGCCCGAAGGUUAAGUGGAUGCGUUAGCUUAUGCGAAGCGUUGAAAUGAAGCCCGGGUGAACGGCGACCGUAACUAUAACGGUCCUAAGGUAGCGAAAUUCCUUGUCGGCUAAAUACUGACCUGCACGAAAGGCAUAAUGAUCUCUCAACUGUCUCAACACUAGAACUCGGUGAAAUUAUGGUCCCAGUGAAAACGCUGGGUUCCCGCAUCAAGACGAAAAGACCCCAUGGAGCCUUUACUAUAACUUCGUAUUGGAAUUUGGCCUAACAUGUGUAGGAUAGGUGGGAGACUUUGAAGCUCGAGAUCGCCAGUAGCAGUGGAGUCAACCUUGAAAUACCACCCUUGUUAUGUUGAAUUUCUAACUUACCAUCAUAAUCAGGUGGGAGGACAGUGCGUGGUGGGUAGUUUGACUGGGGCGGUCGCCUCCUAAAGAGUAACGGAGGCGUUCAAAGGUACACUCAGUACGGUCAGAAACCGUAUGUAGAGCGCAAAGGCAGAAGUGUGCUUGACUGUGAGACAUACAAGUCGAGCAGGUGCGAAAGCAGGACUUAGUGAUCCGGCUGUACAUUGUGGAAUGGCAGUCGCUCAACGGAUAAAAGUUACCCUGGGGAUAACAGGCUAAUCUUGCCCAAGAGAUCACAUCGACGGCAAGGUUUGGCACCUCGAUGUCGGCUCAUCGCAUCCUGGAGCCUGGAGUCGGUUCCAAGGGUUGGGCUGUUCGCCCAUUAAAGCGGUACGCGAGCCUGGGUUCAAAACGUCGUGAGACAGUUUGGUCCCUAUCUGAUGUGGGCGUUGGAAUAUUGAUGAGAGCCGCUCUUAGUACGAGAGGACCGGAGUGGACGUACCGCUGGUGUUCCAGUUGUUCCGCCAGGAGCAUGGCUGGGUAGCUAAGUACGGAAAGGAUAACCGCUGAAAGCAUCUAAGUGGGAAGCCUCCUCAGAGAUUAGUAUUCCCUUGAAAUUCCUUAUAGACUAUGAGGUUGAUAGGCUGGAUGUGUAAGCACAGUAAUGUGUUGAGCCUGACCAGUACUAAUAAAUUGAAAGGUUUAAAAG